UACGCAGGUGGCAAGCGUUGUCCGGAAUUACUGGGCGUAAAGGGCGUGUAGGCGGCCAAUUAAGUCAGACGUGAAAUCCCUGGGCUUAACCCAGGAACUGCGUUUGAAACUGGAUGGCUUGAGGACCGGGGAGGGCAGUGGAAUUCCCAGUGUAGCGGUGAAAUGCGUAGAUAUUGGGAGGAACACCAGUGGCGAAGGCGACUGCCUGGACGGCACCUGACGCUGAGGCGCGAAAGCUAGGGGAG
Molecule: ribosomal RNA, 245 nt
Filed under: uncultured bacterium
Lineage: Bacteria
Description: partial 16S ribosomal RNA
Rfam family: Bacterial small subunit ribosomal RNA
Source: RNAcentral